CGGGCCGGGGCCGGGCGGUGAGGCAACCGUCUGAUACGCGGUUAGAGGCAGGUUCGACUCCUGCCGGCCCGA
RNAcentral lists this transfer RNA (72 nucleotides) under Planctomycetota bacterium. RNAcentral's name for it is "Planctomycetes bacterium (rhizosphere metagenome) tRNA-Ile". It matches the Rfam family "tRNA". From Rfam's summary of the family: Transfer RNA (tRNA) molecules are approximately 80 nucleotides in length. Their secondary structure includes four short double-helical elements and three loops (D, anti-codon, and T loops). The record is from RNAcentral. Lineage: Bacteria; Pseudomonadati; Planctomycetota.